RNAcentral lists this ribosomal RNA (465 nucleotides) under uncultured bacterium. Its description in RNAcentral is "partial 16S ribosomal RNA". It matches the Rfam family "Bacterial small subunit ribosomal RNA", at positions 338 to 795 of the family's 1533-position model. The record is from RNAcentral.
CCUACGGGGGACAGCAGUAGGGAAUCUUCCACAAUGGGCGAAAGCCUGAUGGAGCAACGCCGCGUGGGUGAAGAAGGUCUUCGGAUCGUAAAACCCUGUUGUUAGAGAAGAAAGUGCGUGAGAGUAACUGUUCACGUUUCGACGGUAUCUAACCAGAAAGCCACGGCUAACUACGUGCCAGCAGCCGCGGUAAUACGUAGGUGGCAAGCGUUAUCCGGAUUUAUUGGGCGUAAAGGGAACGCAGGCGGUCUUUUAAGUCUGAUGGGAAAGCCUUCGGCUUAACCGGAGUAGUGCAUUGGAAACUGGGAGACUUGAGUGCAGAAGAGGAGAGUGGAACUCCAUGUGUAGCGGUGAAAUGCGUAGAUAUAUGGAAGAACACCAGUGGCGAAAGCGGCUCUCUGGUCUGUAACUGACGCUGAGGUUCGAAAGCGUGGGUAGCAAACAGGAUUAGAUACCCGAGUAGUC